This 294-nucleotide unclassified non-coding RNA is filed under the name Hevea brasiliensis (rubber tree). The record is from RNAcentral. Lineage: Eukaryota; Viridiplantae; Streptophyta; Magnoliopsida; Malpighiales; Euphorbiaceae.
AGAAUAAAUAGUUUGGAAAAUCAACGUAAGUGAUGUUGGUUUGGCAUUAAAAUCAUUUAAGUGGCAACAUUUUACAGAACAAGUAUCUAAGUAUAAAAAAUCUCAUGAUGUUUCUUAUGUUGAUAAUCAAAUUUAUGUACAUCUACUUGCUUCAUGUUGAGGAUUGAUACAUUCAUUGUUGUUUUAAGAUUGGAUGAGUUUUACCUACAAAGUUCAAAGAUAAAGAUAUGUAGCUAACCAUCUUGUUGAAGCUGUCUAGGGUAGAAGGCUGAAGAUAUUUAUUUGGCUUAAUCA